CAUCUCUAUAAGAAUAUAUAUAGAUAAACUUCUUGAGUGCAUAAAGCAAUUCAUAGAGAUCAGCGAUGGCCAUUAUUAAUUAACUGAUUUUAAGGUGUGGCUUUCAAUUUACAUAGUACUUAGACAUGUCAAAAAUCCUUACGACUAUUGUAAAAAAUCUUGUAAUAAACAAUGUACUUGUUAAAGUAACAACCCAAGCUCUAAGCCUUGCAUUAAAUAAGUACAUAGUUUGCUCCUUGUUUGGCUUUAGCUCAGAUUUCUAUGUGCAGUGCAGCAAGUUUCAAUUAAAUGCAAUUAAAACUCUGGUCAACACUAAUAGUAAAAUCGCUGAGAUGAUCUGAACAGGGAACAACAAGAAUAGAUGCUUACAGUUAGAAAGCUACAUUCUCACAGGUUCAGUCGUAAAUUUCUGAUCAAUCCCCAAACCUCAAGUGAUAUGCAGGUUUAUCCACAUUUACUUCAAAUAGCUUUAUAAGAUCAGCUUUGGCUAGGUUGUGGUCAUCGUGUGGACCUUAAGUGCACAAAAGAAGUUUCACCUUGUCAGCUCUUCAUUCUAAUUAUUUUGUAGAUUAUGGAUGGAAUUGGAGGACUACAGUAGUUGCUAUCUAUUUUGGAAUAUGAGUAGAGCUAGUAGCAAUUUCAAGCUACUCAAAACUGAACAGAACGCUCAAAUCAGACAACAGUUGCUUGUUUCCAUUUUCGAAUAGAGUAUUCAAACCUUUUAACUUUUAUACAGAUCAAAUGAAAAACUAAGACUGCAAUACUAGAAUACAAGCAGGUGAUCACUAGGCAAAGUAGGCAUCUUCAACACCUGAAUUGGUAUCGGUAUCACACUAGCACGGCAACCGCAAGUUUGUUAAUUCCAUCAACCGUAACGGCCCACGACAAGCCACAUGAAACAACGAAUCAUGAAAUCCGAUCGCCCACGCUCCCAAGGAUCCAGCAGCAAUUCCAAAUCUAGAGAGGCUCGUAA
This 973-nucleotide long non-coding RNA is filed under the name Setaria viridis. RNAcentral describes it as "long non-coding RNA (SVIR_LNC010062)". Lineage: Eukaryota; Viridiplantae; Streptophyta; Magnoliopsida; Poales; Poaceae. The record is from RNAcentral.